Marmota monax (woodchuck) is the source of this 12055-nucleotide long non-coding RNA. RefSeq lists it as uncharacterized. Lineage: Eukaryota; Metazoa; Chordata; Mammalia; Rodentia; Sciuridae. The transcript is spliced from 3 exons. The record is from RefSeq and is a predicted model, not a curated record.
UGGAAUGGGCCAUGAGUUUGCCAGGGAGCUGCUCGGGCAGGACCCUGUGCUGGGAGGUGGGAACUGGGUUUCGGAAGCGGCUUUUCUUCUUGUGUUUCCCACUGUUUCCUUCCCCUCUGAUCUGAGACGGACUGUGCUCACCUGUCAUGAAGCUCUCCUUUCCCCUUAUCAGAAUUCUACAAUUGAAGCUUCCUUGUGGCUUGUUUUUUGGCUAUUGCCUUCCUUCAGUUCUGAAGCUCUCAGUUUAGAGUAGCUCAUCUCCCUAGGGCACGGCCCUUCUCUGUUUCUGGGAAGGCUCACCUUGGUCACCUGUACCUUAUGAAGCACAGCCACUGGGCUGCCUUAAAGCUUAGGCGAUUCAGACUUCUGGGACAUCUCAAGCUAGACAUGGGCUGAGUCUCCCCAAACUUGGGAAUCUGUCAGAUUCUCCUGGUUCUAAGUAUGUCAUGCAAUUUCAGAUCACAUCCCAGGCAUAGUGAAUCCUAUGCCCAAGGUGCUGAGUCCUGUUUAUGUCAGUGGUUUUCAGCCAGGGGUGACUUUGCCCCAAGAGGGCUUUGGAAGUGACCAGAGCAGUUCUGAUUGUCCCAGCUGUGGGUUGCUGCUGGCAUCUAGUGGAUAGAGACCUGGGAUGCUGCAAAAACAUCCUGCAUUUCACAGGACAGUCUCUCCCACCAGGGACAGUCCAGCUGAGGUGUCGACCAUGCACGAGCUGAGAACCUGGACUCCGAUUCUCUGGGGCCAUCAGGUAUGACCACAGGGGCUGUCUCACCUGCUGGGGAGUGAUUUUAGUGCCAGUUCAGUUUCCAAAUCCUCUAAUUUGUGCCAUGGACUGAAAUUGUGUCCCCAUAAUUGCAUGCUGCAGCCCUGGACAGGUGUGAUGGUGACUGAGGUGAUCAGGGCCGGAUGAGGCCGUGAGGGUGGGGCUACCAUGAGGGGAUCAGUGCCCCUAUGAGAAGAGAGACCAGAGGACAGGGGCCUUCUGAGGACACAGGGAGAAGGUAUCCAUCUGUGAUCCAGGAAGAGGGCCCUCCCCAGAGCUGGACACGUGCGGGCACCCUGGUCUUGGACUUCCAGCCCCAACCUGUGGAACGCUGUUCUGGCAGCGCCACUGGCUCACAGUGUGAGCCUGCUCCAGUGUGACCUGGCAGGUCGCUCCUCACUGUUAGGGGACCUUCUCUCCCACUGCCUCCCCGGGCACUCCCCAGUGCUCUCCACAUCACAGGACACCAGUGCCCCCGGCCUUUGUUAGAAAGCUCUGGUUUCCCUUCCUUGGAUUUGUUCCCAGGGGCUGUCUUGCAGUUCCCUAAGGGACGUUUCAGGGUUGGUGGGAAGACGAAAGCGAGCACCAGUGGACUCCCUCCAGUGCUUCUGGAGAGCAGAGGCCCCUUUUCUCCGUCCUUCCAGCCAGAGAGGUGACUUCGGCACCCUGCAUGACUGGGCAGGCCAGAGCAGGGCAAGGGGUGGGAGGAGGAAAAGAGGGCCUGCCCGUGGCCAUUGCUCUCGGACCUGCGAGACCCGCCUCCAGCGUCUGGCCCAGAGAGGGCGUUCUCCCCGAGUGGUUCUGUCCUGCUGAGGGCGCAGCUCUGAGACUCCAACUGCCUCGGGGACAAAGAUGAGGACAGAGAAGGCAAACCAAGGAGCUCCCCGCUGCACUGGCCCCUGGUCAGGGCGACUUCCUGUCCAGUUGGCCCGCCCAGCUGCCCCCUGGAGUCCUCAGAUGACAGCCCUGAAUUCUGCCGGUUGUUGGUGUGGUCAGCGUGCGAGAGCUCUGUGGGCCUGCUCACCUGGCUGGCUCCACAGCCCUGUGUUUCCCGUUCAGGGAGGAUAGGAAGGAAGCAGGUGCAGUGUUCUGGGCUGGAGGCUCCUGGCUGUCCUGCCUAUUCUGUUGCCGAGUCUCCUCCGCCGUCAGUCCUGGCCAGGAGAUCAGGUUCUGGCCAACAGCGAGGGCGGCAGUGAGUGCUGCGUGCCCAGUCCUUGCCUAUCAUGGGCCCUUCAUGCUGUUGGCCUGUGCCCAAGGGCCAGCUGGAUGCAGAGGUCAGCAAAGGGCUCCAUGGAUGCUCUGGCAGUCCCACAGGUUGGAGAUGCCUGUGGUCCCUGGGUCACUGCAAGGAGGUGACAUGUCCAACUGGGAUCUGAGCAGCAGGUAGGUUUCAGUGGGCAAAGCCACUUGUUUCAGAGUUUGUUACCCCAACGAAUGCACCUCUAGAGGACAAUUUGAAUCCUCCCUGACUUGACCACCGUGUAAAAUGCUAGACUUGUGAUGAGGGACUUUUACCUCUUCUCUGGUUAACUCCUAUCAAAUGGAUCUAUUUGUCUGACCCACUAAUAUUACUUUUUUUCUGCCCUCGGCAAUGUUGAACGAUAAAUUGAAGCAAUCUUUGGAAGAUUCAGACUCUUUGGAGGAAAGACAGUAUGUACAGACAAGGGGCAAUUAUCAUAAUUCUGGGCACCGCUCUGCCAGAUGCAUGGGGAGAGAAACUAUUAGUCAUCCCUUAACUCUGACAGAGGUACCGUUUCUUCAGGUGAGAUCUGCAAUAAUUAAAAAGCACACGGCUUCUGCCUCCCCACCUCAGCCUGCCUUCCACGAUCGCGGUGCCCUUGAGCAGCAUCUUCUGCAGGCACGGUGGCCUCUGAGGCUGGAGGGUUGGUAGGGCUGCCUGGGGAGAGCUAGCUCCUGGCAGAUUUCAUGGUGUGGUGCCGGGGACAGCGCCCGCCAUCCAGGUCACUGCUAGAUGCAGUUUAAUUAAGCAAGGAGGGUACUGUGGGGGCCGCUCUGCCCUGUUUGAUUUGUGUGGUGGUUGACACGUUUGGGAGCGCCAUCAGAAACCAGCUGGUGUAAAUGGAGAGAGUCACUCACCUGAGUGAUUAAAUUAGCUCAGCGGAAAUGCAGUGAGCUUUAUUAAAGGCGCCCUGGGAAGCAGCUGCCUUCAGCCCAGUUGUGGGGAGGAGGGGGACAGCCUGACGAAGGUCAGUGCUCUGGGUGGUUCCCAGUCCCAGCUGGUGGCCAGGUCCUGGGAGCUCCUGCUUACCUGUCCCCACUCUAGCCAGUCCUGUCAGAUUCUCCCAGGGAGGUGUGGAAAUCUGCUCCCUCCUUUAAACAAUGCUUUUACUUUGUAACUUUAGGUUUCACUUUUCUUUUUGGUACUGGGAAUUGAACCCAGGGGAAUUGACCACCGAACCACAUCCUCAGUCCUUUUUAAUACUGUAUUUAAAUAUAAAAAUAAACUCAGGGUCUCACAGAGUGCUUAGGGCCUCACUAAGUUGCUGAGGCUAGCUUUGAACUCACGAUCCUCCUGCCUCAGCCUUCAGAACAGACGUGCAGGUCCUGUUUGUACCUGUGCUGGGCUGGGUCGGCCUGCACCAUGAUGCCCUAUAUGUACCGUCUCAUGGUUAAGGAGCAGAACAUCUCUGCCGCCCAGUGCACCGGGACGUGGCCUGUGUAUGCGAGGGCUCUCUGCAGGGUGGACCGUCCGCCUUCUGGUGGAAGUGGCCUGAAGGACUUGCAUUUUAAAUAAAGAAGUGGUGAGGAAGCUGUGACGGGUGUGGAGACACUGGAGAGGUCCAGUCAGCGGGUGGCUCGGGUGACGGGGCGUGACAGCGUGGCUGUUGCUCUCUGCUGGAGCGCUUCUGUCAUGGGACCCAGCACAUCUGUCAUGAAGGCUUGAAGCUUUCGGAGUCUGUCGAGGUGUCUGCUCUGUGGGACUGUAGCUGUGCUCCUUUUGCUGAGUUCUGUUGAAGAGUGUGGCCGCUGGUAGGAGUAUCUUGGGGCACUGGGGACAUGCUCUGGAGACUCUAGGACUUCAUGCCCAACUGCCUCCCACUGAGAGGGUGUCAGGACCCGUGUGGGAGCUCAACUCCUGAUGCCACCCUCCGUGGCUCCUCUCAGCCCCUGUUGAUUUGUGCCAAUAAGGUUCAGGUUCAGUUCACGCUGGAGUAAGGUGUGGCAUGUGGGCGCCUGCCCUGGGUGCUCCUGAAAGUCUGCAGAGGCUGGGUGCCCGCUGGGGGCAUUAGCCUGGCACUCCAGUGUGGUCAGCGUGCUGUUAGCAUGGUGAAUGGCGUCGGCCUGACAUUAGUGUCUUGUUGGCAUGGUGUGUGAUAUUAACAUGGCAUUGGAUGGAUUGUAUGGUGUAUGGUGUUAGUGUGACUUUAUUGUGGCAUAAGCGUGGCAUCAACCUGGUGUCAUUGUGGCGUUGGUGUCUGUGUGGUGCGUGGUGUUAGUGUGACGGGCCCAGGGGUCCGGUGUGCACAGUGGCCUGGCUUGCAGUUGGUGACGGGAGACAGCACUGGACCGUAGGUGGGUUUCGAUGGGGAGCUGGAGGGCGAGCAGGCACAGACCAGUCUCUGGGCCGUGACUCUCUUGUGUGUGAAAUGAUCACGUCAGAACCACGACUUGCUUAUUCAUGUUCGCACACAUAGUGAGGGUCAGAGGAGGUGGUUCCUGGCUAAUGACCUACCAGAGCAGGCCAGCGAGUGAGCUCAGCAGAAGGUCCCAGGACCACAGCUGUCAGGCAGCAAUGCUCUGUGGGAUGGCCGCACUGGAAGAAGGAGGAGAGCCUGGGGCACCCAGAGGGGCGCUGUCUCCUGGACGCCAGGACUGAGCUCACUCAGCAAAGCAGUCUUCAGAGUAAAGGUUCCACCUGAGAUUUGGCAUCCUCAGGGGAACAAGCUGGAGAGCGACACAGACACACGCACGUCCACCAUCUGGUGGGUCAGGGGAGAGGGUCCUCCUGGCUCAGGAGGUGAUGGUGCAGGUGGGGAGGAGAGGUGUAACCAGAGGGGUUUGAGGGCAGCAGCCAGGGCCCUGCAGGGAAGGUGGCCCUGUCCUCAGAGCAGGCUUGUGGGCACACACAAAGGCUGAGUUCAAGGUCACACAAUCAUUCCAGCAUGGAAGAGGCCAGCGGUGCCGAGUCCAACUGGCUUCCAGGAGGAAAAGGAUGAAAUUUUCAGAAAGAUUUUAAUAAAACUUAGACGAGGCUCAUUGACAGGGCAACCUGCGGCACCUGUGGCUCUGUGGCCAUCAGUGAGGUGGAGACUCAUUCCGGAGGCGGGCUGUGAAUUUCAUAAAGCCCCUUCCUGCAGCCUUGCUCUGCCGUCUCCCUGGAGCCCAGGGAAGUGCACAGAGGGCACCUUCAAGGUUGCCGGCUGUUGUCUUAAUGGAACAGAGGAACACGCAGUUAGUCUUUAAAAAUGUAAGAGGAGGAAAUAAACCUGGAAAAGCCCUGUUCCCCUCACGCUGGUCAAGCAGGAGGCUGCAACUAGUGGGAGGCCAGAGCAUCGGGUAACCCUUGUUCCACAACACUCUGCUGAUGGUGGAGGAGCCCUGGCCCCCUCGAACUCAGGAGUCCCCUCAAACAGUGUUCCCAGGACUCUCCAGUCCCCUCGAGUGGGGCAGGACCCUCGCUCGUCCCACCGUCAGCCCUCAUCAUCAUCUCCCAGCAUCCUGAAUCCUAUACCACAAGCCCACCCUCGAUCCCAGGAAAGGGUGUGCACAGGCAGAUGUGUCCCAUGUCGCUGUCACUCAGGUGUGGCCCUGGACCUGCGGCAAGGCCUUGGCACCACCCAGACCUGCAGAAUCAUCAUCUGCUUUACCAUGGUCCCAGAAUUGAUCACACAUGGUGGAUCCUGGCCCUCUGCCGCCCUCGCUGCCCCCACAGCCACCUCCUAUGCACAUGCCUGUGCUGAGUGCCCCAGGCCCUGGAGGCCAAGCUGCCUGUGACACUGGGGCAGCAGGGAGCACCGUGGGGCGCUCACUCUGGAAAUGAACACAAGGGGGCAUUCACCUCAGAACACCCACCCACCGACUCAUCCAUCCAUCUGUCCAUCCAUCCAUCCGUCGGUCCCUCCAGCAGAUCCUGCCGGUGCUCUGUGCUGGUCUUGGGGUGGGAGGAGCCAGGGCAGGCAGACUCACAGCCGGGCUCUGGGAAGGCCUCUGUGGUGCGAAGGGCCUGGAUCGCGUCACCGGCUGGUGGCACACACCUCUGCAAGCUGAGGUGUGGUGGGUGGCCCUGCUGACCUUCCUGAUGCGUUUCCUGAGGACAGGUGGCAUUGUCAGAGCAGCUAGGCCAUUCUGUCUCGGAAAGGACUGGGCACUCCUUUCCUUGCUGGACUUGGGGCCUCUGGGCUCCAGGCCCUGAGGCACCUCUGGGAGAGCCCGGUUGUGCCUUAGCUGGGCAGGAGGCGGGGCUCCACGUGAGCUGGGUCUCCGAGGUCCCAGUCCUGCUAUUCUGCGGCUCUGUGGCCUCCUCGCCCAGCUAAGGUGUGACCCUGCCACCACAGUCCUGAGGCCCUCAGUGUCCUCUAGCCACCCCCCGUCCCAUGGCACCAGAGACACAGUGGCACCUGGAGCUCGGCCAGUGGGGAGGAGGCUGCACGGCAGCCAGCUGGCCACCCUGAGCUCUGGUCUUCGCAGAGCAGCAAGACGAUUCUUAUUCUGAGGACAUCUUUCACAAUAAGUCCAAGUCAGGCGCUGAGAGAUUGAAGUCCCUGGGAACGAGGUUAUGGGGCAACGUGACAGACCUGAGGGAAGUAAAUCACCAGCACCGAUGACAUUUUUCCAGAUGGAAACAGAACGGAAGGUCUAAUCAGGAAGAGGAAUGAGGGUCUAACUCAGCAAGGUUUACCGAUGGCUGCAGGAAAGCUGCUGACGUGACCCUCCUCUCCAAGGACAGAGGUCAGGGGCCGGGGGUCGAGAGCAGGGGCGAUCGAUGAGCAUCCUCGAGGCCGGCAGGCAGUAGGCGGUCGGCAGUCUGCGGUGUUGGGGCUUCCUGGGUGUUCAUUUAUUCAUGCAGGCUGUGUCUCACUACGCUGGACUUGGCUCACAGGAAGCACAUCGCAUAAAGAAUAUAAAUAAAUGAUAAAGUGCUGGAUCUUUAAGGUGGACUCAGAGGUCAGAGGGGAGGUGUGGGAAGACCUUCCCUCAUCUCCUGCAUCGCGCAGUGAUCGAGCCAGACAAGCCCAGAGUGUCCGUGCAGCUCUGCCCAGUGCUCAGGGACUUCUGGGAUUGCGUCCCGAGAGGGCAGAGUCAGUCCUACCCGGAGAGGGAGCACAGAGAAGGCCACACCACUGCCCAGCUACACAGGCCCAGGAGCUUAGGACACUGCGAAGACCUGCCAAGAGCAGAGGGCCACACCACAGGACAGGCGGAGCCUCCCACACAGGCCGCCGGCUCCGUCGUCCUCGCUUUUGCACUCAGGGAGCGUGGCUUGGAUUCCAGUCAGGCAACCGUGCACACAGCUCCACCCAACAGAGGCUGUGCUUUUUGACUGGAACCAUGAACCAAGCUCCUGACCAACGCAGCCCACCGGCCCUCCGAGCCAGAAGGUGAGCAUGCGUGGCUUUCCCCUUGCCCAGCGAGGCUGAUUUGUGGCUGCCGCUGAUGAGUCACUCUUUGGACGGGGCAGGUUCAUGCGGUUAUGUCGCAUCAGGAAAAAGGGGUGAUGAACCUGGACCAUUAGCUCUGAGUUAAUGGUGUGAUAAUGGUUCCAUAUUUCUUCCUCCCGAUGGGCUGCGGGGAAGUUGGUGCUCAGCAGCAGGUCAUCAGCCAGGCAGAACCAGGGUAAAAACCUGGAGUGUCUCUCCAGCCUCAAGGAAAUCCUAAGUAUGUGUGUGCAUAUGUUUACUGCUGGUGUGUAUUUGUGCGUGCACAUGUGCAUGCUCUGUGAGCUGGCAUGUGCAAAUACAGACGUCCAUGCACAAAAAUGGUAUGUGAACACAUGUGUACCUGUGUGAGGCUGUGCACACAGCCAUAUUUCUUGUGCUCCAUUCAUGUGUGCUGGUGUAUGUAUGCACAUAUGUGCAUGUUCCAUGUGCAUGUAAGCUUGCACACACACAAACACUGCCUAUGCACACCCAGGAGUGGGAGAACCACGCCUCCGGGGCACGGGAAGGGAGGGCUGGAGAUAGCACCAGCGUCAGCAGACAGUACAGCCUGUGUGAGCGGGGCUGACUUCUGAAGGACCGGCGUCCACCUUCCUUCCUUUCGUCCCUCCCACAGUGACAGGCUGUGGGGAUGUGUGACCUGCCUGCCGGACUCCCGGCUUCCUGAGGCAGGCACACAUUGGUGGCGACCAGAGGGGCUCCUUCCAGUCCAGGCUGGGUGUCAGCUGGACGGGCCUCACUUUCCUCAGAGCGCUGUGCAGCGACUCCCACCAAGUACGCCGUCCUCCCACCACCUACCCUGCGGCCUUCAGGGAGCACCCGGGCUCUGGCUGCCUCCUCCUCAGGCCAUCAGGGCCAUCUGUGGGAGGCAGGUACCUCCUGAGAGGGAGGGCAGUGCAGGUGUGAAGGGAGUCCCUGGAGUCCAGGGGGGAGGGCUGCACCCGAGGGCUCCUGGCCUUUGCCUGGAAACGCCUCCUCCAUGUGCUGACUUGUCCUCUGGGUUGAAGGCCUGUGGGCUUGAGGGCAGCGUGGGGACAGUGGAGGGCCCAGGCUGCACCACCCCAGGCCGAGGGUCCCAGAGCUGAGGUGGAGACCGGAAACCUGCUGGCCCAGCUGUGGAGCAGGAGGUGUGGCUUGUGUUCAGCCAGUGGCGCUGGGGCCGCCAGGCCAGCCCACUUCAAGCUGUCAGUGGCUCUGCUCCGCCCGUGGUGGAAGGCUCCAGGAAAGUGGGAGCAGCCAGCCCCAGGACCUUGGCCCCCCAUCCCCUGCGCCCAGGCUGCUGAGCCCAGGGUCCCUGGAGGCGCCUGCUCUUCUGUGCCCCCUGCAGGGUGGAGGCAGAAGGGGCUCCCUGCUCCGGGGCUGGGUUCCUGCUCCUGUGAGCAGGUCCUCAGGCCUGGCCUCCUGCUGUGGGAGCUGCGCACCUGAGCAGCGGGCCCCGGCCUCUCUGCUUCACCUGCACGAGCGUUCUGCACACAGCGCCCAGUGCCUUUCCCCUGGUUUCCAAGUCUUCAGGAAGGCCAUCUGAGGAGGAGCAUGCCACCCAGGGUUCUUGCCAACUUGGGACCCUGGCAGGGCAGGCGUGUGACGCGGGAAGGUGGAUUCUUGGAUGCUUAAAGAAAUCUGUGACUCCUCACUGACCUGACCUGCUUCCUCCUGGUUAGUAGAUUACUCAGGUCCUUCUACAGUGUCUUGCAGGAACUGGGAACAAGGACAACAGCAGCUCCAUCAAUAACUGACCCCGGCAGGCAACGCCCCAGGACCUGGGUGACUAAGGCAGGCGACCCGCACCACCGACAUGAUGGGUCGGGCAGCCAGGCAGGGUGCUGAGUGGCCGCUCAGGAGUCGUUUUGCCCGGGUGUCUGGAGAGACAGCGGCAGUCACUGAUGUGGGACAGAGGACAACACGGGUCAGGAUCAGCGGCUUCACCCACAGCUCUCUUCUCUGCUUCUCGGCAAGAUCCGGAGGUGCGCCACACCCGCUGCGGGCCCUCCCCUCCUCAGACACUCGUGUGCACCAGCUCCACUGUGCGCCAGCGCAGUCGCACACGCCUGUAAUCCCAGUGCCUUGGGAGGCUGAGGCCGGAGGAUGGCAAGUUCAGCCACCAGGGCAUGCCCAGCCCCUCCACCCGACAGGAUGGCCACCGUCACAAUCACGGACAGCUGCACGUGCUGGUGGGAGAACUGGAGCCCGUGCGCGGCACCUUCUCCUGUGCUUCUUGGCUGCCGGCCCUAACGCUCACGCAGGCUUCUUUUCCAACAGUUCCGAGAGUGAGGUGCCCUUCACGCCCGGCACGGCUGCCUUCCACCUGCUGUGAGCUGGGCAAGGCUGCCCGCGCCUCCACAGGCCCCUGCUCCACCAACCGCUUCACGGCAGCUGCCGGCAGCGAGCAGAGCUGGCGGGCAGGUGUCACCGUGCGGGACCUCCAGCUGGCCGUGCGUGUUGGUGGGUGGCACGUGGGCACGGGUGGGCCUGGCCGAGCAUAUGUACCCCCGGGCCCUUGCUUGUGUGGAACAGAAGCAGCGAUUUUAUGCGUCUGGUUUUCUCCCCAGGCCUGCGAGGGGGGUGGUCCUCUCUCGGUUUAUACGGUGGAGCCUAAAGCUUGUCCAGAGUCACCCAGCCAUCAGGGCGGGUCCCAGGCCUGAGCAGACCCACUGUCUUCUCCCCGCUGUGAGCCCGGGCGAGCAGCUCAGCACAGGACACGCCUGCCCUCCACCGGCCUCUCUCCCUGCACCUUUAUUGUGGUGCCGUGUGCACGGGGCCUGCUACCGCGUCACUUCAAGUGCAGCCAGGGGCAUCACCUGCAUGUGCCUGUCCCAGGGCCACCACCAUUGCCUUUCCAGACUCUUUCCUCCUGCAAAGCCAAAGCCCUCCCCACUGAGCUCUAACUAGUCCCCCAAGCUCUCUCCCAGAGUUCGGCGGCUCCAGGUUCCCCGCGAGCAGGAGCACACGGCACCUGUCCUUUGUGUCUGGGAGGAUCACUUGGUGCCAUGGCUUCCAGGUGAGCCUCCUUGCGGCAGGUGUCAGGAUUUCAUUUUGGGGGCUGACUAAUGUUCCACUGCCUGUCCAGACCUCCCUUUGUCUGUCCCUGCUUCAGUUGAUAGACACAGGUGGUCACUUUUUGGCUGUUGAAUAGGUCUACUGUGAGCGUGGGUGACUGCCCCCCAAGUCUCGUGCUGACACUCCUUCCUGUUGUGGGAUUCCAAGGGUGCAACCAGGUGGGACCUUUAAGAGGUGACUAGGUCAUGGACACAGUCCUCUGUGGGUUCAUGGAUUGGCAGGUCAGUGGAUUAACAGUCAUCUCUAGGGUGGGUCUUCUCAAAAGUUUGUUUGGCUGAUUCUUGGGCACACCCUGUGGCCAUGGAUGCUGGGGCUGCCUUUGGAUUUACCAGAGUCCCACCGGCGAGGUCCCCUGGACCGUGGACCUCGUGGCCGAGCCUGUGUUCUCAUCCAUUCUGGGCAGUCACAGAGCAGAAGAAGGACCAAGACAGGGCAUCUUCAAGACCCUGUUCCUUUUGGCACAGACCCGGAAGGGGGUUGCUGGUCAUGUUGGUGGGCUGCCGGCUGUUCCUGGGCCACACUGUCCUGCUCCCCCGGCAAUGCCUGCGGGGUCCAGGCACGGCUUUCUUCUCAGAAGAGCACUGGAAAGGGAGAGGGGUGUGUGGGGCUGAGGUUUGGCAUAGGCCGAGAGAGCUCCAGACUCAGGAGGUCUGACGGCCCAGAGCAGGGGAGCGGAGCUCUGUCCCGGUGGACAACCGUGGGCCGAUGUCUUGGAGAGGGCACGGGCACUGGCUGGCCUUGCCCGGCACCCAUCGUCCCUGGUGCUGCUGCUGCGUGGCACCGAGCCUGUCCCUCGGCCUGGCUGGUGUGGGCCCGGCAGCCCGGUCCUCACCACCUGCCUCCCUCCCUGUGGACGCAGCUCUGUUCAGGUGCACAGUGCGAGGGGAACACACGUCUCACUCCCGGGUGCCGAGGCCAUGCUCUGAGGCCCCCGACCCCGUCUCUCCUGGGGCCUCAGACCUCUUCCCCGUGGGAGGGCCAAGCGCUCCCACCACCUCUGGGAGAGGGGGCUGCGUAGAGGGGCAUUGAAGAAAAAGCGAGUCUUGCCGGGUGUGCGGGUGAGGGUGGGUUAGCAGGUUGCUCCCGGAACCAGGCAGCUGCCUGGGACAGGCUCCUCACUACCAGGCUGGGCAAGUCUGACCUGAGACCUGACGUCCGUUUAGAUCUGUCCCUGGGGCUGGGGCUGUGGCUGUUGGUGUACCUGGAGGGCGAGGCGCGGGUCAGCGUGUCCUUUGGUCUGCCGAGCAGGUCCUCCUCCUUUAAAGAGAAAGAAAAAUGGGGCCACAGCAUCAGCUCUGAAUUCCUGAGCCAGGCAGGCGCAAAGCCCUCCGGACCCUGUUACUCACCAGUCUGCUCAUUUAGUUUAGGGUUCAAACAGCUCUGCAGAAUGUACAAAGGCCCAGCGGUCACCAUGAAGGUUCGUAUGUUGUUAUUCUCUCCACAUGAUGUGGGCAUGGUGGGGCCUGUGGCUGAACCUCUCAGCAGAGUGGGAUGGAGCUUGGGGACCAGGCACGUGUGUGGGGCGUGAAUUUGCACUGACUGCUGGAGAGGACAGCAUUUCUUAGAGUCAGGUCAUACUCUCAUGUACUGUUUGCUCUCCAUUUCACCACUUUAACAAAUC